RNAcentral lists this transfer RNA (84 nucleotides) under Candidatus Rifleibacteriota bacterium. RNAcentral's name for it is "tRNA-Tyr". It matches the Rfam family "tRNA". Rfam says of the family: Transfer RNA (tRNA) molecules are approximately 80 nucleotides in length. Their secondary structure includes four short double-helical elements and three loops (D, anti-codon, and T loops). Further hydrogen bonds mediate the characteristic L-shaped molecular structure. tRNAs have two regions of fundamental functional importance: the anti-codon, which is responsible for specific mRNA codon recognition, and the 3' end, to which the tRNAs corresponding amino acid is attached (by aminoacyl-tRNA synthetases). tRNAs cope with the degeneracy of the genetic code in two manners: having more than one tRNA (with a specific anti-codon) for a particular amino acid; and 'wobble' base-pairing, i.e. permitting non-standard base-pairing at the 3rd anti-codon position. Lineage: Bacteria; Candidatus Rifleibacteriota. The record is from RNAcentral.
GGGGAGAUUCCCGAGUUGGCCAAAGGGAACAGACUGUAAAUCUGUCGGCUUAUGCCUUCGGAGGUUCGAAUCCUCCUCUCCCCA